UACGAAGGGGGCUAGCGUUGUUCGGAAUUACUGGGCGUAAAGCGCGUGUAGGCGGGUCUUUAAGUCAGGGGUGAAAUGCCAAGGCUCAACCUUGGAACUGCCUUUGAUACUGGAGACCUUGAGUCCGGGAGAGGUGAGUGGAAUUGCGAGUGUAGAGGUGAAAUUCGUAGAUAUUCGGAGGAACACCAGUGGCGAAGGCGGCUCACUGGUCCGGUACUGACGCUGAGGUGCGAAAGCGUGGGGAGCAAACAGG
RNAcentral lists this ribosomal RNA (253 nucleotides) under uncultured bacterium. RNAcentral describes it as "partial 16S ribosomal RNA". It matches the Rfam family "Bacterial small subunit ribosomal RNA", at positions 524 to 776 of the family's 1533-position model. The record is from RNAcentral.